Non-coding RNA from Colletotrichum somersetense, 127 nucleotides. Lineage: Eukaryota; Fungi; Ascomycota; Sordariomycetes; Glomerellales; Glomerellaceae. The record is from the annotation of a GenBank genome assembly.
AGUCUGGUGGUGUAGUUGGUUAUCACGUCAGUCCAACAGCGUGAGGGCAUCUCACGAUGCCCUCACUCCUGCUCACUGAAACGUGUGAUUGCGUCCAAGGUCUCCGGUUCAAGUCCGGGCUGGAUCA